This 215-nucleotide long non-coding RNA is filed under the name Hordeum vulgare. Its description in RNAcentral is "long non-coding RNA (HVUL_LNC006778)". The record is from RNAcentral. Lineage: Eukaryota; Viridiplantae; Streptophyta; Magnoliopsida; Poales; Poaceae.
UACUGAACCCAAACAUAUAGAUUAAUGAAUAAGUUAACUUUCAUAAAUACUUUGGAGAUGGAAUUUGGAAAAUAUUUAAAUUUCACUUCAAAUGAUAUGAUCAAACACUGUCCAAAUUACAAACCAGCAACCUAACAUGUCAUACCAUGCAUGUUAAAAGCAAGUUGAUCUGAGCAUCAGGUCGAAUCAAUUAAAAUGGUAUCCGAGAAUACCUC